UAAAGUUAAUAACUGAGUCCGGUUCAUUUCCUUUUUGACUCGCACGUGGAGGUCAAGAAGGUGCUGCAGUGUGUUUUGAAACCCCAGCCAUGAGCUAAUUGACUUUAUGAGGCGAUAACCAAGCUUGUACAUGUGUCAUAUCACCGUGCGUCUUCUAUUUUUGUCAGCUGGGGAUGAGCAUCCAGAAAAAAACCCUGUAUCAGCUCGACGGCGGCCAAGCUUUAUUUAAGGACGUUCCGCUUAAGAAGGAAGAGUGAGCCGUGUCCACGAGGGUUUGUCUGAGUGCCCGUCUGAUAGCAAGUCCAGGAAACAGGUGGGGGGGUGACUGUGCACUACCAUUCUAUCCAACGUGAAGGGAAAAGCACUGCGCCGGCUCCACCGCCUGAACUGUGUUUAGCCCAGAGCCGAACGGGCCAAGUGAAGGAGAGAGCAGGUCACCGAAUCUGCUGGAGUACAUCCUUCAUCCUCAGAGCGGAGGCUGCAGCAGCAGAGGAAAGUGAUCACUUCUGACAGCCCCGAAGCUCCAAAUCCUGACUCUAACAGAGGUUCUG
Molecule: long non-coding RNA, 551 nt
Filed under: Betta splendens (Siamese fighting fish)
Lineage: Eukaryota; Metazoa; Chordata; Actinopteri; Anabantiformes; Osphronemidae
Description: lncRNA (ENSBSLG00000005383.1)
Source: RNAcentral